RNAcentral lists this transfer RNA (67 nucleotides) under Hygrotus confluens. RNAcentral describes it as "tRNA-Glu". It matches the Rfam family "tRNA". Rfam says of the family: Transfer RNA (tRNA) molecules are approximately 80 nucleotides in length. Their secondary structure includes four short double-helical elements and three loops (D, anti-codon, and T loops). Further hydrogen bonds mediate the characteristic L-shaped molecular structure. tRNAs have two regions of fundamental functional importance: the anti-codon, which is responsible for specific mRNA codon recognition, and the 3' end, to which the tRNAs corresponding amino acid is attached (by aminoacyl-tRNA synthetases). tRNAs cope with the degeneracy of the genetic code in two manners: having more than one tRNA (with a specific anti-codon) for a particular amino acid; and 'wobble' base-pairing, i.e. permitting non-standard base-pairing at the 3rd anti-codon position. Lineage: Eukaryota; Metazoa; Arthropoda; Insecta; Coleoptera; Dytiscidae. The record is from RNAcentral.
AUUUAUAUAGUUUAAACAAAACCUUACAUUUUCAAUGUAAAAACAAAAUUUAAUAUUUUUAUAAAUA